UCCGCUGUAGCACAUC
Molecule: unclassified non-coding RNA, 16 nt
Filed under: Arabidopsis thaliana (thale cress)
Lineage: Eukaryota; Viridiplantae; Streptophyta; Magnoliopsida; Brassicales; Brassicaceae
Source: RNAcentral